GAUUAAGUUAUUAAGGGCGCACGGUGGAUGCCUUGGCACUAGAAGCCGAUGAAGGACGUUACUAACGACGAUAUGCUUUGGGGAGCUGUAAGUAAGCUUUGAUCCAGAGAUUUCCGAAUGGGGAAACCCAGCAUGAGUUAUGUCAUGUUAUCGAUAUGUGAAUACAUAGCAUAUCAGAAGGCACACCCGGAGAACUGAAACAUCUUAGUACCCGGAGGAAGAGAAAGAAAAUUCGAUUCCCUUAGUAGCGGCGAGCGAAACGGGAAGAGCCCAAACCAACAAGCUUGCUUGUUGGGGUUGUAGGACACUCUAUACGGAGUUACAAAGGACGACAUUAGACGAAUCAUCUGGAAAGAUGAAUCAAAGAAGGUAAUAAUCCUGUAGUCGAAAAUGUUGUCUCUCUUGAGUGGAUCCUGAGUACGACGGAGCACGUGAAAUUCCGUCGGAAUCUGGGAGGACCAUCUCCUAAGGCUAAAUACUCUCUAGUGACCGAUAGUGAACCAGUACCGUGAGGGAAAGGUGAAAAGCACCCCGGAAGGGGAGUGAAAUAGAACCUGAAACCGUGUGCUUACAAGUAGUCAGAGCCCGUUAAUGGGUGAUGGCGUGCCUUUUGUAGAAUGAACCGGCGAGUUACGAUUUGAUGCAAGGUUAAGCAGUAAAUGUGGAGCCGUAGCGAAAGCGAGUCUGAAUAGGGCGUUUAGUAUUUGGUCGUAGACCCGAAACCAGGUGAUCUACCCUUGGUCAGGUUGAAGUUCAGGUAACACUGAAUGGAGGACCGAACCGACUUACGUUGAAAAGUGAGCGGAUGAACUGAGGGUAGCGGAGAAAUUCCAAUCGAACCUGGAGAUAGCUGGUUCUCUCCGAAAUAGCUUUAGGGCUAGCCUCAAGUGAUGAUUAUUGGAGGUAGAGCACUGUUUGGACGAGGGGCCCCUCUCGGGUUACCGAAUUCAGACAAACUCCGAAUGCCAAUUAAUUUAACUUGGGAGUCAGAACAUGGGUGAUAAGGUCCGUGUUCGAAAGGGAAACAGCCCAGACCACCAGCUAAGGUCCCAAAAUAUAUGUUAAGUGGAAAAGGAUGUGGCGUUGCCCAGACAACUAGGAUGUUGGCUUAGAAGCAGCCAUCAUUUAAAGAGUGCGUAAUAGCUCACUAGUCGAGUGACACUGCGCCGAAAAUGUACCGGGGCUAAACAUAUUACCGAAGCUGUGGAUUGUCCUUUGGACAAUGGUAGGAGAGCGUUCUAAGGGCGUUGAAGCAUGAUCGCAAGGACAUGUGGAGCGCUUAGAAGUGAGAAUGCCGGUGUGAGUAGCGAAAGACGGGUGAGAAUCCCGUCCACCGAUUGACUAAGGUUUCCAGAGGAAGGCUCGUCCGCUCUGGGUUAGUCGGGUCCUAAGCUGAGGCCGACAGGCGUAGGCGAUGGAUAACAGGUUGAUAUUCCUGUACCACCUAUAAUCGUUUUAAUCGAUGGGGGGACGCAGUAGGAUAGGCGAAGCGUGCGAUUGGAUUGCACGUCUAAGCAGUAAGGCUGAGUAUUAGGCAAAUCCGGUACUCGUUAAGGCUGAGCUGUGAUGGGGAGAAGACAUUGUGUCUUCGAGUCGUUGAUUUCACACUGCCGAGAAAAGCCUCUAGAUAGAAAAUAGGUGCCCGUACCGCAAACCGACACAGGUAGUCAAGAUGAGAAUUCUAAGGUGAGCGAGCGAACUCUCGUUAAGGAACUCGGCAAAAUGACCCCGUAACUUCGGGAGAAGGGGUGCUCUUUAGGGUUAACGCCCAGAAGAGCCGCAGUGAAUAGGCCCAAGCGACUGUUUAUCAAAAACACAGGUCUCUGCUAAACCGUAAGGUGAUGUAUAGGGGCUGACGCCUGCCCGGUGCUGGAAGGUUAAGAGGAGUGGUUAGCUUCUGCGAAGCUACGAAUCGAAGCCCCAGUAAACGGCGGCCGUAACUAUAACGGUCCUAAGGUAGCGAAAUUCCUUGUCGGGUAAGUUCCGACCCGCACGAAAGGCGUAACGAUUUGGGCACUGUCUCAACGAGAGACUCGGUGAAAUCAUAGUACCUGUGAAGAUGCAGGUUACCCGCGACAGGACGGAAAGACCCCGUGGAGCUUUACUGUAGCCUGAUAUUGAAAUUCGGCACAGCUUGUACAGGAUAGGUAGGAGCCUUUGAAACGUGAGCGCUAGCUUACGUGGAGGCGCUGGUGGGAUACUACCCUAGCUGUGUUGGCUUUCUAACCCGCACCACUUAUCGUGGUGGGAGACAGUGUCAGGCGGGCAGUUUGACUGGGGCGGUCGCCUCCUAAAAGGUAACGGAGGCGCUCAAAGGUUCCCUCAGAAUGGUUGGAAAUCAUUCAUAGAGUGUAAAGGCAUAAGGGAGCUUGACUGCGAGACCUACAAGUCGAGCAGGGUCGAAAGACGGACUUAGUGAUCCGGUGGUUCCGCAUGGAAGGGCCAUCGCUCAACGGAUAAAAGCUACCCCGGGGAUAACAGGCUUAUCUCCCCCAAGAGUUCACAUCGACGGGGAGGUUUGGCACCUCGAUGUCGGCUCAUCGCAUCCUGGGGCUGUAGUCGGUCCCAAGGGUUGGGCUGUUCGCCCAUUAAAGCGGUACGCGAGCUGGGUUCAGAACGUCGUGAGACAGUUCGGUCCCUAUCCGUCGUGGGCGUAGGAAAUUUGAGAGGAGCUGUCCUUAGUACGAGAGGACCGGGAUGGACAUACCUCUGGUGUACCAGUUGUCGUGCCAACGGCAUAGCUGGGUAGCUAUGUAUGGACGGGAUAAGUGCUGAAAGCAUCUAAGCAUGAAGCCCCCCUCAAGAUGAGAUUUCCCAACUUCGGUUAUAAGAUCCCUCAAAGAUGAUGAGGUUAAUAGGUUCGAGGUGGAAGCAUGGUGACAUGUGGAGCUGACGAAUACUAAUCGAUCGAAGACUUAAUCAA
Molecule: ribosomal RNA, 2923 nt
Filed under: Staphylococcus aureus
Lineage: Bacteria; Bacillati; Bacillota; Bacilli; Caryophanales; Staphylococcaceae
Description: 23S ribosomal RNA
Rfam family: Bacterial large subunit ribosomal RNA
Source: RNAcentral